AGCUUUGCACAGUGGCAGUAUCAUAGCCAAUGAGGCUUAUUCAAGGCACGAUUAUUGCUAAUUGAAAAUUUUCCCAAUACCCCGCCAUGACGACUUGCAAUAUAGUCAGCACUGGCAAUUUUUGAUAGUCUCUGAAGAAA
This 140-nucleotide small nuclear RNA is filed under the name Aotus nancymaae (Ma's night monkey). RNAcentral's name for it is "U4 spliceosomal RNA (ENSANAG00000003257.1)". It matches the Rfam family "U4 spliceosomal RNA". Rfam says of the family: U4 small nuclear RNA (U4 snRNA) is a component of the major U2-dependent spliceosome. The structure of U4 snRNA from yeast and human has been reported. U4 snRNA presents a k-turn RNA motif in the 5p-SL related to recognition of Snu13 protein. Lineage: Eukaryota; Metazoa; Chordata; Mammalia; Primates; Aotidae. The record is from Rfam by way of RNAcentral.